RNAcentral lists this ribosomal RNA (424 nucleotides) under uncultured bacterium. RNAcentral describes it as "bacterial SSU rRNA". It matches the Rfam family "Bacterial small subunit ribosomal RNA", at positions 202 to 622 of the family's 1533-position model. The record is from RNAcentral.
AAGACCUUUGCACUUUUGGAGCGGCCGAUGUCUGAUUAGCUAGUUGGUGGGGUAAUGGCCUACCAAAGCUUCGAUCAGUAGCUGGUCUGAGAGGACGGCCAGCCACACUGGGACUGAGACACGGCCCAGACUCCUACGGGAGGCAGCAGUGGGGAAUUUUGAACAAUGGGCGCAAGCCUGAUCCAGCCAUGCCGCGUGAGUGAAGAAGGCCUUCGGGUUGUAAAGCUCUUUCAGCCGGGAAGAAAAGGUUGCGACUAAUAAUCGCAAUCCAUGACGGUACCGAAAGAAGAAGCACCGGCUAACUACGUGCCAGCAGCCGCGGUAAUACGUAGGGUGCGAGCGUUAAUCGGAAUUACUGGGCGUAAAGGGUGCGCAGGCGGUUUUGUAAGUCAGAUGUGAAAUCCCCGGGCUUAACCUGGGAACU